UGGGGAAUUUUGGACAAUGGGCGAAAGCCUGAUCCAGCAAUGCCGCGUGUGUGAAGAAGGCCUUCGGGUUGUAAAGCACUUUUGUCCGGAAAGAAAUCCUUGGCUCUAAUACAGUCGGGGGAUGACGGUACCGGAAGAAUAAGCACCGGCUAACUACGUGCCAGCAGCCGCGGUAAUACGUAGGGUGCAAGCGUUAAUCGGAAUUACUGGGCGUAAAGCGUGCGCAGGCGGUUUGCUAAGACCGAUGUGAAAUCCCCGGGCUCAACCUGGGAACUGCGUUGGUGACUGGCAGGCUAGAGUAUGGCAGAGGGGGGUAGAAUUCCACGUGUAGCAGUGAAAUGCGUAGAGAUGUGGAGGAAUACCGAUGGCGAAGGCAGCCCCCUGGGCCAAUACUGACGCUCAUGCACGAAAGCGUGGGGAGCAAACAGGAUUAGAUACCCUGGUAGUCCACGCCCUAAACGAUGUCAACUAGUUGUUGGGGGAUUCAUUUCCUUAGUAACGUAGCUAACGCGUGAAGUUGACCGCCUGGGGAGUACGGUCGCAAGAUUAAAACUCAAAGGAAUUGACGGGGUCAUAGCUGUUUCCU
Molecule: ribosomal RNA, 586 nt
Filed under: uncultured bacterium
Lineage: Bacteria
Description: partial 16S ribosomal RNA
Rfam family: Bacterial small subunit ribosomal RNA
Source: RNAcentral